GGUGCCCAACUGCGCGCUAAC
This 21-nucleotide small nuclear RNA is filed under the name Arabidopsis thaliana (thale cress). RNAcentral's name for it is "snRNA_05131". The record is from RNAcentral. Lineage: Eukaryota; Viridiplantae; Streptophyta; Magnoliopsida; Brassicales; Brassicaceae.